RNAcentral lists this ribosomal RNA (253 nucleotides) under uncultured bacterium. RNAcentral describes it as "partial 16S ribosomal RNA". It matches the Rfam family "Bacterial small subunit ribosomal RNA", at positions 524 to 776 of the family's 1533-position model. The record is from RNAcentral.
UACGAAGGGGGCUAGCGUUGCUCGGAAUUACUGGGCGUAAAGGGAGCGUAGGCGGACAUUUAAGUCAGGGGUGAAAUCCCAGAGCUCAACUCUGGAACUGCCUUUGAUACUGGGUGUCUUGAGUGUGAGAGAGGUAUGUGGAACUCCGAGUGUAGAGGUGAAAUUCGUAGAUAUUCGGAAGAACACCAGUGGCGAAGGCGACAUACUGGCUCAUUACUGACGCUGAGGUGCGAAAGCGUGGGGAGCAAACAGG